RNAcentral lists this ribosomal RNA (459 nucleotides) under uncultured bacterium. RNAcentral's name for it is "partial 16S ribosomal RNA". It matches the Rfam family "Bacterial small subunit ribosomal RNA", at positions 338 to 795 of the family's 1533-position model. The record is from RNAcentral.
CCUACGGGUGGCAGCAGUGAGGAAUAUUGGUCAAUGGGAGAGAUCCUGAACCAGCCAAGCCGCGUGAGGGAAGACGGCCCUAUGGGUUGUAAACCUCUUUUGUCGGAGAACAAAACCCGGGACGUGUCCCGGACUGCGUGUAUCCGAAGAAAAAGCAUCGGCUAACUCCGUGCCAGCAGCCGCGGUAAUUCGGGGGAUGCGAGCGUUAUCCGGAUUUAUUGGGUUAAAGGGGUGGGUAGGCGGUCCGUUAAGGCAGCGGAAAAAUUGCGGGGCUCAACCGCGUCGAGCCGUUGAAACUGGGAUGCUUGAGUUGGCGAGAGGUACGCGGAAUGCGCGGUGUAGCGGUGAAAUGCAUAGAUAUCGCGCGGAACUCCGAUGGCGAAGGCAGCGUACCGGCGCCAGACUGACGCUGAGGCACGAAAGCGUGGGGAUCGAACAGGAUUAGAUACCCCUGUAGUC